AAGUCGUAACAAGGUUUCCGUAGGUGAACCUGCGGAAGGAUCAUUAUUGAAUUUAAUGAAGGGAUAUUUGGUUGUAGCUGGCUCAUGAAUUUGGGCAUGUGCACACCUAUCUCUUUCAUCCACACACACCUGUGCACUUGUGAGGCAGAUGGGGAAUUUAUUGAUUGUUUUUUAAGAACAAUUGGUGCUGGACCCUCUGUCUACUCAAUACAUAAACUCAAUUUAUUUAGAAAUGAAUGUAAUGGAUGUAACGCAUCUAAUACUAAGUUUCAACAACGGAUCUCUUGGCUCUC
This 293-nucleotide unclassified non-coding RNA is filed under the name Thanatephorus cucumeris. RNAcentral describes it as "partial internal transcribed spacer region". The stretch from base 1 to 46 matches the Rfam family "Eukaryotic small subunit ribosomal RNA", at positions 1786 to 1831 of the family's 1831-position model. The record is from RNAcentral. Lineage: Eukaryota; Fungi; Basidiomycota; Agaricomycetes; Cantharellales; Ceratobasidiaceae.